UUACACAGCUUUCACCAUGCUGCAAUUAGCUGUUACACAAUUAGGCACACCACCUUAACUGUGCUGUAAAGGUGUCAGGCAAGGCUCUGUACUGUACUGAUGGCCCGAAUAUGUCACUUUGGCACAGAUGCACAAGAAACCAGAAUAAUCCAUUAUAUAUGUAAGAGUUUUAUAGUUGACACCGUGCUAAAUUUUCAACUUGUGCCAACAUGCAAAGGAGUUAUGCACCAGUCCAUCUGAAUUAUUUCCCCUGAUACUGUGGAUCUAUUAUUUGAUGCAAACAAGAUUCUUGCUCUCUAGCAUAAGGUUGAACUCUCAUUUAUUCUUCAUGUCAGGCUUCUAGAGUUGUGGGAGAGUGCCUAUUCAGAGGCGAGAAGCAUGAACACAUUGAUCUUAUUUGGACAGGCUUUUGUCUGGGACAUAUCCAAACCCAAACAGCCAGAGGAAGGACCACAACAGGGUAUAUCGACUUGACGGCUCUUAAGCUCAUCCCUUGCCCCGCUGAUGACCUCUUUCAGAUCUGCGUCUUGGUAAAGUUGUUGUAACUGUGGUAUCAUCCAUAAAUGCACUGACUGAGGUUCACACCCGCUGUCUUCUCCAGUGUGUUCAUGGACAGAGCAGCAAGGGAAAUUAAUCCAUACCUUCACAGAUUUGUUGUCCUCGCUCCGCGUCAGAGAUCUCCAGGUUGGGACGAAGCACAUAUUUUUCUAUUCUCUUCAUGCUACAGAGCUUGAUUAGAAGACAUGUAGCAUUUUGUUUUGUUUCUAUUGCAUCAACUACAGUAGAGUAGAGCAGCUGAGAAACAUCAGUGUUGGCUGACUCAUUUUCAGGGCUGUUACUCUAAUCUGCAGUUUUGAUUAGGUAGAAAUAAACAUGCUCAUAUUUAUGGCUGUGGAGCUGUUUCUGAA
Molecule: long non-coding RNA, 908 nt
Organism: Astatotilapia calliptera (eastern happy)
Lineage: Eukaryota; Metazoa; Chordata; Actinopteri; Cichliformes; Cichlidae
Source: Ensembl